AUAUUGGGGAGAGACCGAUAGCGAACAAGUACCGUGAGGGAAAGAUGAAAAGCACUUUGGAAAGAGAGUUAAACAGUACGUGAAAUUGUUGAAAGGGAAGCGCUUGAAGUCAGACAUGCUGCUGAGACUCAACCUUGGUUUUCCUUGGUGUACUUCUCAGUUGGCAGGCCAGCAUCAGUUUUGGCUGUUGGAUAAGGGUAGGAGGAAUGUGGCAUCCUCGGAUGUGUUAUAGCCUCUUACUGGAUACAACGGCUGGGACUGAGGAACGCAGUGUGCCUUCGGGCGGACCUUCGGGUACCUUCACACUUAGGAUGCUGGCGUAAUGGCUAUAAGCGACCCGUCUUGAAACACGGACC
This 356-nucleotide ribosomal RNA is filed under the name uncultured fungus. RNAcentral's name for it is "LSU rRNA". It matches the Rfam family "Eukaryotic large subunit ribosomal RNA", at positions 320 to 667 of the family's 3401-position model. Lineage: Eukaryota; Fungi. The record is from RNAcentral.